This 402-nucleotide ribosomal RNA is filed under the name uncultured bacterium. Its description in RNAcentral is "bacterial SSU rRNA". It matches the Rfam family "Bacterial small subunit ribosomal RNA", at positions 358 to 774 of the family's 1533-position model. The record is from RNAcentral.
AGAAUCUUCCGCAAUGGGCGCAAGCCUGACGGAGCGAUGCCGCGUGAGGGACGAAGGCCUUCGGGUCGUAAACCUCUGUCGAGGGGAACGAACGCAAUGACGGUACCCCUCAAGAAAGCCACGGCUAACCACGUGCCAGCAGCCGCGGUAAUACGUGGGUGGCGAGCGUUAUUCGGAUUCACUGGGCGUAAAGGGUCCGCAGGGGGCAUGCCGCGCCCGCCGUGAAACACCGGGGCUCAACCCCGGUCCUGCGGCGGGUACGGGCGUGCUGGAGUGCGGGACGGGCAGACGGAAUUCCGGGUGUAACGGUGGAAUGUGCAGAUAUCCGGAAGAACACCGAUGGCGAAGGCGGUCUGCUGGCCCGCGACUGACCCUCAUGGACGAGAGUGUGGGUAGCGAACA